Molecule: long non-coding RNA, 354 nt
Filed under: Theobroma cacao (cacao)
Lineage: Eukaryota; Viridiplantae; Streptophyta; Magnoliopsida; Malvales; Malvaceae
Description: long non-coding RNA (TCAC_LNC000586)
Source: RNAcentral
CCCCCAAAGCCUCUGUCGUUCUAACAUAAUCAAACCCUCUUGAAUCGUAAACACAGAAACCACUUCGCAUUGAUCUCAGGACGUUGUGUUCUUCCAUGUACAUGGUUGUAUAAUUGGAACGACUUCCUACAGGUAAAAGCGAAAACUUCAAACUCUAAAAUCCUUUUUCACUGUAAUUUCUUCUCUGAUUAUGCUUUUAAGCCUUUUUACAACAGAUGCGACUGAUAGAUUCUAGAUAAAAGCAUAAACUACAAACUGAACUUACCUGAUGAUGUUUGAGCAAAGGGAAUUAGGCCAGACCGACCCAGAAUACUGUACAUGAGAUUUAUAAGCGAGCUCUUGCCAGAACCGGAG